AUGGCCAAUGAUGACAAUGAGAGUCCUGACCAAAAGAUGGAAACUGGAGAAAAGUCACUUCCCAAACUUCGUCAGGCUGAAGGCAUAAGGGGCACCUCCUCCUCUCCACAGCCCAGACGCAUGGGCACAACCAUCAGGUUGCCCACAGGUCCAGGGACCAAGUCCCUCUCCUAUAGUUUCUUUGAUUUCUGGCGGCUGCAGAAGAUCAGGACUUCAAAUGCAAAGGCAGAGCUGAAGGCGAGCACACAGGGGAAGCGAGUACCCUGGCUUCUUGACCACUUCCCUGUCACACAGACGGAGAACAUCUGCAGUGCUGCUCCCCAGACAGCAGCACAUGAGGGCAGCUGGGCCACCCCACCCAGGGAGGUUUAUGUUCGGGGCUGUAUCACUGUGUGAGGAAUUUUUGUACUUUGCCCACAGUAAUAAACUCCAACAUCCUCAGCCUCUACCCUACUGAUUUUAAGAGUGAAAUCCGUCCCUGACCCACUGCCACUGAACCUGUCUGGGAUGCCAGAGUCUCUGUUAGAAACCUUGUAGAUAAGAAGCCGCGGAGACUGGCCUGGCUUCUGCAGGUACCAGUGCAAAUAGGUGUUUCCAUUGCUAUGCAGGAGGCUCUGACUGGACCUGCAGGAGAUGGAGGCCGGCUCUCCGGGGCUGAUGAGCAGGGCGGGUGGAGACUGGGUUAACACUGCCUCCCCACUGCAUCCUGAAAUAAUGACAGAGAGAAG
RNAcentral lists this long non-coding RNA (728 nucleotides) under Chinchilla lanigera (long-tailed chinchilla). RNAcentral describes it as "lncRNA (ENSCLAG00000028802.1)". Lineage: Eukaryota; Metazoa; Chordata; Mammalia; Rodentia; Chinchillidae. The record is from RNAcentral.